This 253-nucleotide ribosomal RNA is filed under the name uncultured Syntrophothermus sp. RNAcentral's name for it is "partial 16S ribosomal RNA". It matches the Rfam family "Bacterial small subunit ribosomal RNA", at positions 524 to 776 of the family's 1533-position model. Lineage: Bacteria; Bacillati; Bacillota; Clostridia; Eubacteriales; Syntrophomonadaceae. The record is from RNAcentral.
GACGUAGGGGGCGAGCGUUGUCCGGAAUCACUGGGCGUAAAGCGCGUGCAGGCGGUCCGUUAAGUGGCGUGUGAAAUCCCGCAGCUCAACUGUGGGACGCCGCGUCAAACUGGCGGGCUUGAGGGCGGGAGAGGGAAGUGGAAUUCCUGGUGUAGCGGUGAAAUGCGUAGAUAUCAGGAGGAACGCCAGUGGCGAAGGCGGCUUCCUGGCCCGUCCCUGACGCUGAGACGCGAAAGCUGGGGGAGCGAACGGG